UUUGUGUACCCACCUCUGUUGCUUUGGCGGGCCGCGGUCCUCCGCGGCCGCCCUCCGUCCGGGGGGUGGCCAGCGCCCGCCAGAGGACCAUCAAACUCCGGUCAGUGAACGUUGCCGUCUGAAAAACAAUCAAUAAACUAAAACUUUCAACAACGGAUCUCUUGGUUCUGGCAUCGAUGAAGAACGCAGCGAAAUGCGAUAAGUAAUGUGAAUUGCAGAAUUCAGUGAAUCAUCGAAUCUUUGAACGCACAUUGCGCCCCUCGGUAUUCCGAGGGGCAUGCCUGUUCGAGCGUCAUUACAACCCUCAAGCUCUGCUUGGUGUUGGGCACCGCCCUUCCGCGGGCGCGCCUCAAAGACCUCGGCGGUGGCGUCUUGCCUCGAGCGUAGUAGAAAACACCUCGCUUUGGAGCGCACGGCGCCGCCCGCCGGACGAACCUUUUGAACUUUCUCAAGGUUGACCUCGGAUCAGGUAGG
This 474-nucleotide ribosomal RNA is filed under the name Neoscytalidium dimidiatum. RNAcentral describes it as "eukaryotic LSU rRNA". The stretch from base 142 to 295 matches the Rfam family "5.8S ribosomal RNA". The record is from RNAcentral. Lineage: Eukaryota; Fungi; Ascomycota; Dothideomycetes; Botryosphaeriales; Botryosphaeriaceae.